AUGAAGUAUUAUAAAAAACUAAAUUCGUCGCUAAGGUUAUAAACUUAGGUAAAUGGACAGUUAUAUCCUUGACAGAUACAAUUAUAACAGGGUAGGUUGCAGCUGCCCUGCCUGUUUCUAACCAGUUACAUUUGCUCACAUGGACACUUUGAAGAUUAAUAUCUUAUAAAGCCCCUCAUGUGUAAUUUAGAACUGAAGUGUCUUGGAUGUUUUAGGUGUGACAAAGCAAUUCUUUAUUAGUCAUUCAGCAAAAGUACUGUUGACUCAAUAGAUCUUUAAAAAGGAGUCACCCAUCUUCAAUUCCCUCUUCCUAUCUACAGUCUAAAGAUUCUGUCAGCGCUACUCAAGUCUAUCCCUGGAUUGAAGGAGAAGGCUGACAGUGAGAACAGGGGGAUUCAAGAUGAGUUUCAUUCAGCACCUUUGACUACCUCUUCUGCUUUAUGGCUGUUGUUGGCUGUUUUUUUUUUUUUCCCUGAUCAUAGCUGAUGCUGAACAAUGAUCCUGAGAUGGAUGUAUCAAAAUCUUGAAGCCAAGCUCACAAAUUUGAGAUAUUGAAGAUCCUGGGUCCAUUGGUCAGAGUCUGGCAGAAGAGGGAGUUAGAUCAGAUCAGAGAAUACAACUGCAGAAAAGAGAAGAGUCUAAGCCUAGCUUGCCAGGUAGAAGGUUGGAAGGAAGAGUGAAAAGGCAAAUUUUUGCUGAUCGAAACAAAUAAAAUAUAAUUUAAAAGUA
Molecule: long non-coding RNA, 729 nt
Organism: Antechinus flavipes (yellow-footed antechinus)
Lineage: Eukaryota; Metazoa; Chordata; Mammalia; Dasyuromorphia; Dasyuridae
Exons: 2
Source: RefSeq, a predicted model, not a curated record